RNAcentral lists this long non-coding RNA (214 nucleotides) under Musa acuminata (dwarf banana). Its description in RNAcentral is "long non-coding RNA (MACU_LNC008156)". Lineage: Eukaryota; Viridiplantae; Streptophyta; Magnoliopsida; Zingiberales; Musaceae. The record is from RNAcentral.
CGGUUGAACCGCCCAAGCUAGGAGGUGGCACCGCUUGAGCUCGGUCUUCGAGGUCUGGCAGGAGGUGCAACUACCUCAGUCAAGCAGUGGCACCGCUUAAGCUCGGUCUUUGAGCUCUGGUAGGAGGUGCAACCACCCUUAACAGGAGGUGUGUUAGGACUCUAGCUAGGAGAGUCCUAAUUGAGAGGGACAUUCAUGUAAAACCUACCUAAGC